Molecule: long non-coding RNA, 670 nt
Organism: Ipomoea nil (Japanese morning glory)
Lineage: Eukaryota; Viridiplantae; Streptophyta; Magnoliopsida; Solanales; Convolvulaceae
Exons: 2
Source: RefSeq, a predicted model, not a curated record
UUCGAAAACAUUGAUAUCAUUAGACCGACGUCGAAGGCUCCUUUGGAACAAGCGAUUAUCUCUCUGGAAAGUGGAAGCGAAUCGAUGGCGAAGCGUGAUGUGAGGGGUGGAAGAAGGGACGAGUCGGCGUCGCUCUUGACUCGGGCGGUGAACAAAGUAUUUGCAUUCGUCCGUUUCGCCGAGUUCGAGAUCCUUUUCGUCCUCUUCUUCGUCAUCGCCUAUAUAAUAUUCAAGGAUCUGACUUCAAGGCCAGAGUAUAAUCAGAUCCUUGUAAAGAAACCUGAUUGGUGGCCGAACUAGAAUCCAGAGGUGGCUCGGUUGACCAAUCUCCUUCUCUAGCAGUAUGGAUUCUGCAAAUCAUGUAUGAUUUGUUACGUGUAAAUUUCUAGAUGCCAAGGAAAAGAUCAGAGUUUCUAUAUACUCCCAUCCGUCUUAAUUAGAGUAUUCUCUUGAUUGUGUGAUAUGUAAAACAUUGGUAAAGAAGCAAUUACUUGUGUUAGUUGUGUGGAAUCUAAGGGUGUGUUUGGUUCAUGGGUUUAGUUAUUAGGAAUGGGAAUCAAAGUCAUUGUUAUUGAUUGGUUGACAGGUUUUUUAAAUACUACUAUGAAAUUUGAUUAUCCCCUUAAUUAGAAAAUCCAUUCCCUAAUAAAAUAAAGGUUUUAUUAUAUUA